Molecule: long non-coding RNA, 523 nt
Organism: Pongo pygmaeus (Bornean orangutan)
Lineage: Eukaryota; Metazoa; Chordata; Mammalia; Primates; Hominidae
Exons: 3
Source: RefSeq, a predicted model, not a curated record
AGCGCGCCCGGAGUGAUCCGGCUGCGGGCCAGGGUCUGGGAAGGGGGUGGUGGGUCGCCGUUUCAUCAGAAGCCCGAGGACGAGCGCCAGGGGGCAACUUCCUACAGGAGAGCGUCCCGUUAGAAUGACAGGGCUUUUGCAAAAGUCUGACACCCGUGGCACAGAGCGCCCCAGAUAUGGAGGGUUUCACAGUAGGCUGAGAAGGAGAAGGAAGUGAAGGGGUUGGUCUUGCCGUCUCACGAGUGGCAGAGGCAGGAGAAAAUCCAAAUGGAAUCACGACUUAAAGACUGCAUUCUUCCUUCUCAAAACUCAUGUUAAAGAUUUCUCCAUGCAGAGCCACAGGCUAUUUUGGAGUUGGAAAUGGAGCAGUUAAAACUAGGAGGUCACACACGUUGAGAUAAUUCCUUCACUGCAUCUCGCCUGGCUUGUGUGCCUGAGGAGACACGCAUCUCAGAGGGCAGAGGGGCAGCCGUUGUCUAAUGAGGUUAUUUCACCUACUAUAUAAUAAAAUGCACAGGACAAU